Molecule: ribosomal RNA, 495 nt
Filed under: uncultured bacterium
Lineage: Bacteria
Description: partial 16S ribosomal RNA
Rfam family: Bacterial small subunit ribosomal RNA
Source: RNAcentral
AUGCACGCUGGCGGCGUGCCUAAUACAUGCCAGUCGAGCGAACAGACGAGGAGCUUGCUCCUCUGACGUUAGCGGCGGACGGGUGAGUAACACGUGGAUAACCUACCUAUAAGACUGGGAUAACUUCGGGAAACCGGAGCUAAUACCGGAUAAUAUAUUUAACCGCAUGGUUCAAUAGUGAAAGACGGUUUUGCUGUCACUUAUAGAUGGAUCCGCGCCGCAUUAGCUAGUUGGUAAGGUAACGGCUUACCAAGGCAACGAUGCGUAGCCGACCUGAGAGGGUGAUCGGCCACACUGGAACUGAGACACGGUCCAGACUCCUACGGGAGGCAGCAGUAGGGAAUCUUCCGCAAUGGGCGAAAGCCUGACGGAGCAACGCCGCGUGAGUGAUGAAGGUCUUCGGAUCGUAAAACUCUGUUAUUAGGGAAGAACAAAUGUGUAAGUAACUAUGCACGUCUUGACGGUACCUAAUCAGAAAGCCACGGCUAACUACGU